CCUACGGGAGGCAGCAGUAGGGAAUCUUCCGCAAUGGACGAAAGUCUGACGGAGCAACGCCGCGUGAGCGAAGAAGGCUUCGGGUCGUAAAGCUCUGUUGUAAGGGAAGAACAAGUGCCGGUUAACUGCCGGUGCCUGACGGUACCUUACCAGAAAGCCACGGCUAACUACGUGCCAGCAGCCGCGGUAAU
Molecule: ribosomal RNA, 191 nt
Filed under: uncultured bacterium SP11-17
Lineage: Bacteria
Description: partial 16S rRNA
Rfam family: Bacterial small subunit ribosomal RNA
Source: RNAcentral